Molecule: ribosomal RNA, 253 nt
Filed under: uncultured bacterium
Lineage: Bacteria
Description: partial 16S ribosomal RNA
Rfam family: Bacterial small subunit ribosomal RNA
Source: RNAcentral
GACGUAGGGCGCGAGCGUUGUUCGGAAUUACUGGGCGUAAAGGGCUCGUAGGCGGCCAACUAAGUCGGACGUGAAAUCCCUCGGCUUAACCGGGGAACUGCGUCUGAUACUGGAUGGCUUGAAUCCGGGAGAGGGAUGCGGAAUUCCAGGUGUAGCGGUGAAAUGCGUAGAUAUCUGGAGGAACACCGGUGGCGAAGGCGGCAUCCUGGACCGACACUGACGCUGAGGCGCGAAAGCUAGGGGAGCGAACGGG